AUGAGUCCCAACCCCACCCCAGGCACCCCAACCUUGGGUCGGGCCCACCUGACCUUCCCAAAGAUGCGGUUGAGCAGGGGCCCGUCGUCCUCUGAGCAGCAUCGUGCUGGGGGCCAGGGCGGUGCGGUGGGACUGGCGACGAGGGCCAGCCCAGAGGCCGAGGACGGGCCCCUCCUGCCCUUCUCUGGUCCUGGAGGGUUCUUGCUGCUCCCGGGCCUCGGGGCCCUGCAUGGGGUCUGCUCCCCAGAGCUGCUGGGGCCCUUCCGGGACCCUCGGGCCCCUUCUCCCUCUUGCUGCUUCUCUUCCUCAUCAAGGGGACCCCUCAGCGCCACUACUGGAAGCCAGGACCUCCACAGGGGCUUCUGUGGUCUGGGGGCGGGUCUGGGCCAUGCCGCCCCUCCCUGCUCUUGGCCAUGUGGAGGGGUGACAGGGUUCAGAGAAGCUGCACCAGGAGCACCCCUACUUCUCAGGACCCAUAAAGCUGCUUAUGCUCUGCCACCCCGAGGGCUGAUGACCAGGGAUCGGGCCCUGAGGGGGAUUAGGGUAAGUGAGUCAGGCAGCCCAGGCCCUAAUCCGCCCUCUGCCUGCGGGUGGCCAGAUCAGCAGAGCAGAUCAGUCAAGGGAACCAUCCUCAGCAGCACAGGUGCCAGGACAGAGUGGCCACAGUGAGCCUCGGACUCCGGCUCUGCCACUCAUGAGCUGGGAGACCCAGCAGACUCACCUCUCUAAGUCUCAGUUGCCUCAUCUAUAAAAUGGGAGCAGUAUUGCUGAGCGUCAGAGAGCCCAGUUGUCUGACAUGAGCAGGACUCAGCUACCAAAGGACACGGGAAGCAUCUCAGGCAGGAGGAAGAGUGUGCACAAAGGUGGGAGGUGGGGGAGGACAAAUGACCCUCUGUGGGCGACCUCCUGACCGGAGCAGGGUGUGUGAAAGGAAGGAAGAGAGGCCAGAUCAUAGGGGCUUGGAAUCCCGGGUGAUUGAGGGUCACGGGGUGACAUCAGAGGAGGCGCACCCUGGGGACCCAGAGCCUGCUCUGAGCUGGGGGCCCAGGCCGAGGGCUUUCGGCCAUCUGGCCCUGUCAAGGAUAGGGGGCCUGGCUGGUCACUUGGCCCCACUGGGCUGGGGUUAGGGUUUCCCAGCGAGCAGCCCCAUGAAAGAUUGAUGUCCUCUUAGCUUGGGUUUCAUGCCAGCAGCCUGAGUGCCGCGGGCACCAUGCAGCAGGCCCGGCAUGGGGCUGUGUGGACGACUGGACCUCUGAGCAGGCAGACACCCUGCUCCUUCCAGCCAGCGGCCUGCACCUCACAGGUAAGCCAGGCCUCGCCAGUUGGAGCCUCAGUGGGUGCCCUGGGCUCUGAUCCAGUAAGGACUGGAGCUUGCAGAGUGGGGUCUGCCUGAGUAAGGGCCCUGGGGUGGGAGACCACAGGCUAAGGUCAAAUGGCUUGAGCUAUGAGCCACAGGCGGGACCCAGGCUUUCCGGGACAUCUGGUUUUCCACCUCAGAGGGCCUCUCUCCCCCACUAAGGAGGUAGGGUGAGGCAGCAGGCUUCUUGGGACUCAGCCCCUCAUCCUCAUCACGCUGCUGAGCCCUUACCCCUUUUCUAAUGAGUAACACCGGGGACAAGGAGCCCCCAGACUCCUGUCCACUCUUGAGCCCAGGGGACCUAAGCCUUUCCCUUUGGAAUCUUUCUGUUUGUUUGUUUUGGCUGCACCACGUGGCUUGCAGAAUCCUAGUCUCCCUACCAGGUACUGAACCCCUGUCCCCUGCGAUGAAAGCGUAGAUCUUUAACCAUUGGACCACCAAGGAAGUCUGAAUCUCAAAAUCUUGAAACCAGGAUACGGACAAAAGGGAGCCUGCAAUGCUUUGACCAUUUGGGGUUGUUUUGUUUUGGCGCACCAUGCAGCUUGAGGGAUCUCAGUCCCCACCAGGGACUGAACCCAAGCCCACAGCAGGAAAGGCCAGGUCCUAAUCAGUGGACCACUAGGGAUUUCCCAAGUGGUUUUAAACUGUGUUCCUGGAGUUCUAAGGGUGCUCUCCUCCUUUAACACACCUUUUAGCUCACACAGAAGUUCUGCUAUAGUAUCUUAUUGAAAUGAAUUUGAAAGCCUCUGGUUUGGUCUGCGUGGAUGCAGGUUCUGGGCAGCAAAAUAAUUAGAGUCCUGGUGCCCACAUUCCUGUCUCAGACCGUGCAUAAGUCACCUUCCUCUGCACCUUUCUCUGCUUACCUGUAGGAUGGAUUGCAGGAAGACUAGGUAAGGUAAUCUCUUUAAAGUCCCUGGCAAGGUUAACCACCCCAAGGUGAUGAUGAUGGCCCAGAGAGGGACAGCGACUUUCACAGAGAUGCUCAGCUUCCUCUCUCUCUUUUCAGUCAUUCAUGCCUUCAUUGAUUCACCAGGUGCCCUCCAUGUCCAGUAAGGACUGGAGCUUGCAGGUGGGGUCUGCCUGAGUAAGGGCCCUGGGGUGGGGAGACCACAGGCUAAAGGUCAAAUGGCUUGAGCUAUGAGCCACAGGCGGGACCCAGGCUUUCGGGACAUCUGGUUUUUCCACCUCAGAGGGCCUCUCUCCCCCACUAAGGAGGUAGGGUGAGGCAGCAGGCUUCUUGGGACUCAGCCCCUCAUCCUCAUCACGCUGCUGAGCCCCUUACCCCUUUUCUAAUGAGUAACACCGGGGACAAGGCCCCAGACUCCUGUCCACUCUUGAGCCCAGGGGACCUAAGCCUUUCCCUUUGGAAUCUUUCUGUUUGUUUGUUUUGGCUGCACCACGUGGCUUGCAGAAUCCUAGUCUCCCUACCAGGUACUGAACCCCUGUCCCCUCACGAUGGCGUAGAUCUUUAACCAUUGGACCACCAAGGAAGUCUGAAUCUCAAAAUCUUGAAACCAGGAUCUGGACAAAGGGCCUGCAAUGCUUUGACCAUUUGGGGUUGUUUUGUUUUGGCCGCACCAUGCAGCUUGAGGGAUCUCAGUCCCCACCAGGGACUGAACCCAAGCCCACAGCAGGAAAGGCCAGGUCCUAAUCAGUGGACCACUAGGGAUUUCCCAAGUGGUUUUAAACUGUGUUCCUGGAGUUCUAAGGGUGCUCUCCUCCUUUAACACACCCUUUAGCUCACACAGAAGUUCUGCUAUAGUAUCUUAUUGAAAUGAAUUUGAAAGCCUCUGGUUUGGUCUGCGUGGAUGCAACGGGAUUCUGGGCAGCAAAAUAAUUAGAGUCCUGGUGCCCACAUUCCUGUCUCAGACCGUGCAUAAGUCACCUUCCUCUGCACCUUUCUCUGCUUACCUGUAGGAUGGAUUGCAGGAAGACUAGGUAAGGUAAUCUCUUUAAAGUCCCUGGCAA
RNAcentral lists this long non-coding RNA (3325 nucleotides) under Bos grunniens (domestic yak). RNAcentral's name for it is "lncRNA (ENSBGRG00000014791.1)". Lineage: Eukaryota; Metazoa; Chordata; Mammalia; Artiodactyla; Bovidae. The record is from RNAcentral.